UACGUAGGGGGCAAGCGUUGUCCGGAUUCAUUGGGCGUAAAGAGCGUGUAGGCGGCCAGGUAGGUCGGUUGUGAAAACUGGAGGCUCAACCUUCAGAGGUCGACCGAAACCAUCUGGCUAGAGUGCGGAAGAGGCGAGUGGAAUUCCUGGUGUAGCGGCGAAAUGCGCAGAUAUCAGGAGGAACACCAAUUGCGAAGGCAGCUCGCUGGGACGUAACUGACGCUGAGACGCGAAAGCGUGGGGAGCAAACAGG
RNAcentral lists this ribosomal RNA (253 nucleotides) under uncultured bacterium. RNAcentral's name for it is "partial 16S ribosomal RNA". It matches the Rfam family "Bacterial small subunit ribosomal RNA", at positions 524 to 776 of the family's 1533-position model. The record is from RNAcentral.